UUGGAGGGCAAGUCUGGUGCCAGCAGCCGCGGUAAUUCCAGCUCCAAUAGCGUAUAUUAAAGUUGUUGCAGUUAAAAAGCUCGUAGUUGAAUUUCGGGAUCAAUAUGUCGGUCGUGCUUUUGGUACGUACUGGCAUCAUUGGUUUCUCCCUUCUGACAAACCAUGAUGUCAUUAAUUUGGUGUUAUGGGGAGUUAGGACUGUUACUUUGAAAAAAUUAGAGUGUUUAAAGCAGGCAUUAGCUUGAAUACAUUAGCAUGGAAUAAUGAAAUAGGACGUUUGACCCUAUUUUGUUGGUUUCUAGGAUCGACGUAAUGAUUAAUAGGGAUAGUUGGGGGCAUUAGUAUUCAAUUGUCAGAGGUGAAAUUCUUGGAUUUAUUGAAGACUAACUACUGCGAAAGCAUUUGCCAAGGAUGUUUUCAUUAAUCAAGAACGAAAGUUAGGGGAUCGAAGACGAUCAGAUACCGUCGUAGUCAUAACCAUAAACUAUGCCGACUAGGGAUCGGAUGAUGUUAAUUUUUUAAUGACUCAUUCGGCGCCUUACGGGAAAC
RNAcentral lists this ribosomal RNA (549 nucleotides) under uncultured Glomeromycotina. Its description in RNAcentral is "SSU rRNA". It matches the Rfam family "Eukaryotic small subunit ribosomal RNA", at positions 548 to 1098 of the family's 1831-position model. The record is from RNAcentral. Lineage: Eukaryota; Fungi; Glomeromycota.